This 51-nucleotide small nucleolar RNA is filed under the name Pyrobaculum neutrophilum V24Sta. Its description in RNAcentral is "PNEsR17". Lineage: Archaea; Thermoproteati; Thermoproteota; Thermoprotei; Thermoproteales; Thermoproteaceae. The record is from RNAcentral.
GUGAUGAUGGGUAUCAAAGCAAUGAUCCGUGAUGGGCUCGCGACGGACUGA